This 200-nucleotide ribosomal RNA is filed under the name uncultured bacterium. RNAcentral's name for it is "partial 16S ribosomal RNA". It matches the Rfam family "Bacterial small subunit ribosomal RNA", at positions 8 to 217 of the family's 1533-position model. The record is from RNAcentral.
AGAGUUUGAUCCUGGCUCAGGACUAACGCUGGCGGCGUGCCUAACACAUGCAAGUCGAACGAGGUAGCAAUACCUAGUGGCAGACGGGUGAGUAACACGUAGUCAACCUACCUUUUAGUGGGGGAUAACUAGCCGAAAGGUUAGCUAAUACCGCAUACGCUCUUCGGGUGGCAUCACUUGGAGAGGAAAGGAGCAAUCCG